GGCCGAGGUCCUGUUUUUCUUUUCCUGCUUUUUUCUUUUUUCUUCCAGCCUCUUUUCGCUCACAAUCUGGGUCUGGUUACAGUUCACUGUUCACUGAAGCGCGACUGGAAUGCCGAAUUCAGUCCAUUAUUCUCAUUAGAAGAAACAAAAGUAUUUUGCAGGAAUGUUCUUUAAUAAAUCAUUGCUUGAGGAUAAGCGAGUUCCAGCUUCACGUCUGACUGAGAGCGCUGACACUGGAGACUUCUUCCACGCAUCACACAGAAAUUCCAGAAAACUUCAUUAAUCCGUUUAUGUGAGGCUUCUGCCGUACACACCCGUGAAUGAGCCGUUGCUAUGGAAAUGAUAGGGCGUUAGCUCUAGAACACCUGAACCGUCUACUCUGGUAAUUAGCGGCAGCGGCAGCGGCAGCAGCAGUGUGCUACAGCGGAGCAAUCACGGCGGAAUUCUCCGGGACGAGCGCUGGGAAGGAUUCUCGGCUUCAGUGCCGGAGAAGAAACACAGCUGAUCCAGUCCUCAGAUAAUUAUUGAGCUCGUUAUGAGAGUUAAAGCUGAAACUGGGUGAGAAGGAGAAUAAAAAGCAGUAGCAUGCAGAUGGAGGGCAGCAUCACGGGCCAGUUGUGUAACCUGAACUGAUCCGCUGUGGCUCUGUAAUGUCUCUUCUGGUGUAAAUAUACUUCAGCUACACGGACAGGUCGUCGAUACACACUUCUGUCAGAUCUGUUCAGACUUCGGCGUGGUUCAAUAACGCAAUCUGAUCUUCAGUUUGUUCUUCAUCACCAUCUCUGAUGAUGAAAUGUUGGAAAGAGUAAACACAGAUAAAAGCAGACAGAAACCAUGCUGAAGUUCAGCGCAGAGCUGAGGGUGUGCUGUGUAGUGGUUGUGUAGUGUAGUGUAAGGGUAGUGGUAGUGGUAGUGUUGUGUGGUGUGUUGGGUUGUGUUGGUGUAGUGUUGGUGUAGUGUUAGGUUGUGUUGUGUAGUGUUGUGUUGUGUUGGUGUAGUGUAGUGUAGUGUAGUGUUGUGUUGGUGUAGUGUAGUGUAGUGUAGUGUAGUGUUGUGUUGUGUUGGUGUAGUGUAGUGUAAGUGUAGUGGUAGUGGUAGUGGUAGUGUUGUGUUGUGUGUUGGGUUGUGUUGGUGUAGUUUUGUGUUGUGUUGGUGUAGUGUUGGUGUAGUGUUAGGUUGUGUUGUGUAGUGUUGUGUUGUGUUGGUGUAGUGUAGUGUAAGUGUAGUGGUAGUGGUAGUGGUAGUGUUGUGUUGUGUGUUAGGUUGUGUUGGUGUAGUUUUGUGUUGUGUUGGUGUAGUGUUGGUGUAGUGUUAGGUUGUGUUGUGUAGUGUUGUGUUGUGUUGGUGUAGUGUAGUGUUGGUGUAGUGUAGUGUAGUGUUGUGUUGGUGUAGUGUAGUGUUAUGUUUUUUGUUGGGUUGUGUUGGUGUAGUGUAGUGUUGUGUUGGUGUAGUGUAGUGUAAGUGUAGUGGUAGUGGUAGUGUUGUGUUGUGUGUUGUGUUGUGUAGUGUAGUGUUGUAGUGUAGUGUUGUGUUGGUGUAGUGUAGUGUUGGUGUAGUGUAGUGUUGUGUUGUGUUGUGUUGGUGUAGUGUAGUGUUGUGUUUUUUGUUAGGUUGUGUUGUGUAGUGUUGUGUUGUGUUGUGUUGUGUUGUGUUGUGUUGGUGUAGUGUAGUGUAGUGUAGUGUAGUGUAGUGUAGUGUAGUGUAGUGUAGUGUUGUGUUGGUGUAGUGUAGUGUAAGUGUAGUGGUAGUGGUAGUGUUGUGUGUUGGGUUGUGUUGGUGUAGUUUUGUGUUGUGUUGGUGUAGUGUUGGUGUAGUGUUAGGUUGUGUUGUGUAGUGUUGUGUUGUGUUGGUGUAGUGUAGUGUUGGUGUAGUGUAGUGUAGUGUUGUGUUGGUGUAGUGUAGUGUUGUGUUUUUUGUUGGGUUGUGUUGGUGUAGUGUAGUGUAGUGUAGUGUUGUGUUGGUGUAGUGUAGUGUAGUGUAAGUGUAGUGGUAGUGUUGGUGUAGUGUAGUGUAGUGUUGUGUUGGUGUAGUGUAGUGUUGUGUUUUUUGUUGGGUUGUGUUGGUGUAGUGUAGUGUUGUGUAGUGUAGUGUAGUGUUGUGUAGUGUAGUGUUGUGUUGGUGUAGUGUUGUGUUGGGUUGUGUUGGUGUAGUGUAGUGUUGUGUUGUAGUGUAGUGUAGUGUUGUGUUGGUGUAGUGUUGUGUUGUGUAGUGUAGUGUUGUAGUGUAGUGUUGUGUUGGUGUAGUGUUGGUGUAAUGUUAGUGUAGUGUUUGUGUCAGUGUAAUGUAGUGUUCGUGUCAGUGUAAUGUAGUGUAGUGUUUGUGUAAUGUAGUGUAGUGUUUGUGUCAGUGUAAUGUUAGUGUAAUGUAGUGUAGUGUUCGUGUCAGUGUAAUGUUAGUGUAAUGUAGUGUAGUGUUCGUGUCAGUGUAAUGUAGUGUAGUGUUGUGUUGUAGUGUAGUGUAGUGUUGUGUUGUGUAGUGUUGUAGUGUAGUGUUGUGUUGGUGUAGUGUUGUGUUGUGUAGUGUUGUAGUGUAGUGUAGUGUUGUGUUGGUGUAGUGUUGUGUUGUGUAGUGUUGUAGUGUAGUGUUGUGUUGGUGUAGUGUUGGUGUAAUGUUAGUGUAGUGUUUGUGUCAGUGUAAUGUUAGUGUAAUGUAGUGUUCGUGUCAGUGUAAUGUUAGUGUAAUGUAGUGUAGUGUUUGUGUCAGUGUAAUGUUAGUGUAAUGUAGUGUUCGUGUCAGUGUAAUGUAGUGUAAUGUAGUGUUCGUGUCAGUGUAAUGUAGUGUAGUGUUUGUGUCAGUGUAGUGUUAGUGUAAUGUAGUGUUCGUGUCAGUGUAAUGUUAGUGUAAUGUAGUGUUCGUGUCAGUGUAAUGUAGUGUAAUGUAGUGUUCGUGUCAGUGUAAUGUAGUGUAGUGUUUGUGUCAGUGUAAUGUUAGUGUAAUGUAGUGUAGUGUUUGUGUCAGUGUAAUGUUAGUGUAAUGUAGUGUUCGUGUCAGUGUAAUGUAGUGUAAUGUAGUGUAGUGUUUGUGUCAGUGUAAUGUUAGUGUAAUGUAGUGUAGUGUUUGUGUCAGUGUAAUGUUAGUGUAAUGUAGUGUAGUGUUUGUGUCAGUGUAGUGUUAGUGUAAUGUAGUGUAGUGUUUGUGUCAGUGUAAUGUUAGUGUAAUGUAGUGUAGUGUUUGUGUCAGUGUAAUGUUAGUGUAAUGUAGUGUAGUGUUUGUGUCAGUGUAGUGUUAGUGUAAUGUAGUGUAGUGUUCGUGUCAGUGUAAUGUUAGUGUAAUGUAUUGGAGUGUUUGUGUCAGUGUAAUGUUAGUGUAAUGUA
Molecule: long non-coding RNA, 3314 nt
Organism: Hemibagrus wyckioides
Lineage: Eukaryota; Metazoa; Chordata; Actinopteri; Siluriformes; Bagridae
Exons: 3
Source: RefSeq, a predicted model, not a curated record